This is a long non-coding RNA of Poecile atricapillus (Black-capped chickadee), 3532 nucleotides long. RefSeq lists it as uncharacterized. NCBI's taxonomy places the organism in Eukaryota, Metazoa, Chordata, Aves, Passeriformes, Paridae. The record is from RefSeq and is a predicted model, not a curated record. The transcript has 6 exons.
UCUUCUACCUCGCUACUCCAUCUCCACAGCCCCAAAGAAGGGAUGAGUUAUCAGGAAAAAAGGCGUUUAAGCUGAGGGAAAAAGCUUUCUUUUCCCCAAUUGCCUGUGUUUGAAUUGAAGAGAAAUCCACUUCCCCUGCAAUUUUGAUAGUCUCAAUUGGAGGUAACUCUGCCUUUUCUGUGCUGUUAGAGAUAUUAAUUGAUAGAGAAUGCCCAUUUUUUAUUUUUUUCCACUUUAAGUGGAAAGGGAAAGCAGGGAUGAUGCUUUUUUAUGGAUCUGAAUUAACCAAAAAAUGCCCCCUUUUCAAUCACCAGAGAGAUUUAAAGUGAGGAAAACCACUCUUUUUCCCAAUAUUUGAUGGGUUUAAAUUAAAGAGGAGAAGCCAUUUAUUUACCACUGUAUCCAUUUAAGUGGAGGUAGCUGCCCCAUUUGCUCAUUUUUAGCGUUGCCUUUUCCAGCAUGUCCUGGGGUGACUUUAUGAUACUGGUAUCCCCAAUCGUCUGGUUUAUGUUAAAUAUUAAGUUCUGCACCUUUAAGACUGGCUCUGAAAGCGAGAGCGGGGGGGAAGAAGAAGCACGCCGUUUGCAUUAAGGAACAAACAUCACUCCCACACAUCCCGCUCCUGGACUGUGGUGUCUGCAGCACGGACAGACAGCGGGACAGAGCUUCUCUCUGGCUUUUAGUUGGUUUUAGCUAGCUGAGGCAGAGGAGUUCCCUGGACCUUUGUUUUUUUUUCCUUUUUUUGUUUCCUUGGAUCUGUGCAAACCUGCUCUGGACCGAACACCCGGCCAAACCCCGGGAGCUCACGCCUUUGGCCCACCGGGGCCCGGGCCUCGGCACUUUUCAGCGCCGGAAGGACCGAUAAGAACCCGAGCGAGGCGAGCUACACCACAUGAAAAGGACUUUUCUUCCUAGACUUGCCAUCCCAUCGAACAGUGAGAGGAGGAUUGCAGUUUCCUGAAGUUCUAGGUCACGUCAAGUGUGAUACUUCAGAUUCUCUCAGCAGAUUCAUCGUGACACAAAAGGGAACCGCUGCGGCAGCUUUCCUUAGCAGCAGAUCGGUCUCUCCGAUGGAUUCGCUUCGGAGAGAUAAGUCGAGGGCUGUGGUCACAGAGGGGAUCGAAGCAGGGUAGUGGGUUAGGAUUCACACCGGUUAGGGUUUUGAGUCAGCUAUGGGGAGGGGGAGGUUUGAGAACUGGCCUUUGGGGCCACUGUGAGGGAAAGGAACACUUUGGCUAACAAUGCUGAGGCGGGCAGGGCAGAGCAGUCCCAAGGUGUGUUGUCACUUGUCUGUUGUGCUUUCUGUGUCUUCUGUUCAUCUCGUGUAACAUGUCUCUUGCCUUAGUCCUCCCAGGAGCUUAUGAGAAACCCCAGGUCCUUCCGGUCAUCUCCCAUCUUUGCGUUCCUCGGCCCGGGGCCGAUGCCGGCGAAGUUUCGAUUCGGGAGGUCAGACAGGCGUCAGAAUCGCAUCUCUGUUCAGCAGCAUCCGAUCGGAUGUCUUUUUAGGUCUUGUUCUCAGCUGUGUUGACAGCUGUAUGCAGUAAUCUUUCUUUACAGUGGAUAAGGACUUGUGCCGAUUCAAAGGCAGGCAGAGGCUUCCAGCCACAGGAUUCUCAGGCAUCCGUCUCCGCGGUUCUCGGAAUAAGUCGUUCCGUUAGCAUCUUUUUCCUCCGGGGUCAUCCGAGCCCGGCGGGCUCGCCUUCGGUCCCUCCUCGGUCAUCUCGUUCAGCAUUUUCUCGGUCCUCGUGAGGACUUUGUCGUCUCAGAGUUUUCUCUCCCUGUCGUGUCCCCUCGUCUCACGUGUCACGGGUGUCUGGGGGUAUUCGGUCCGGAACUGCUCUGCCCUGCCGCCCGGCCCCGUUGCAGGUGUUUAAGGACAAGUCCCGGGCACUUGUAAUUGGAGACUUUUAAUACGGGCUGUAGUUGGAGUCUAGGUAGUAUUCUUAUGUUGGCAGAAGGUGUCUGGAGCUGUGAAGUUACCCUGCAGCACUUCGACCUUUUUCCUAACUUUCUUUCAGAUGCGGAUGGAUCGACCUCCUGGCAGAGCGCCUCGUCCCAGAUGAGGGGAUCCCCCUGAGAAGGAAGUAAAGCCGGAUAGCAGCAGUGAAGGUGAAGCAUUGUGAAGGUGGUCUACUUGCAAGAUAUCCCAGCCCAGGAUGCCAGAGGACAGGUUCCGUGCAGAGAGGCAGAGCCGAAGUUUGCGAUCGGCCGCACCGAAGCCGGCACGGGGGACGUCUCGACGUACACAUCCUAUUGAGGAUGGGUCUUGUCCUAUUACGUUACAAAAGGUCUCUGAUACCUAUUUUCUGAGGAUCUACCAUUUGAUGCUGAGAAGCAGCAGCGAGAAGAUAUCUCGGGGCAUUUUGUUUAGCACAGUGUUUUAAAUAAGGGUUGCGGUCACUGUGUGAGUUAGUCUCCUGCUGUGUGUCAGAGCAUGUCUGUCUGUGAGAGUCGGUGGGUCUGGGUGUGCUUGUGUGUGUGUGCGUGUUGAGCGGUUCUAACCUUGUGUGUAUUGCUUUUGCUUUUCAGGACUUUGAAUUCACAUUUAAAUUUAGAAUAAAAAAUCCCCAGCUGGGGGGGUUUUUUUUUUUCCCCUCCCAGCUGGGGUUUUUUUUCCUCGGUCCCGGCCGGUCUGCGAGGCGACAGUCAUCGCCUAAGUUUGGGCACGGACCGGCCCCGGACCGGGGUUUUCGUCAGGCAGGCUGAUUUUUGAGGCCCCCGGGAACCGAGUUCCCGUGGGGUAGGAGGGGCGGGUGCGUGUUCUGCGGUUCUAACCUUGUGUGUAUUGCUUUUGCUUUUCAGGACUUUGAAUUCACAUUUAAAUUUAGAAUAAAAAAUCCCCAGCUGGGGGGGUUUUUUUUUUUUCCCUCCCAGCUGGGGUUUUUUUUCCUCGGUCCCGGCCGGUCUGCGAGGCGACAGUCAUCGCCUAAGUUUGGGCACGGACCGGCCCCGGACCGGGGUUUUCGUCAGGCAGGCUGAUUUUUGAGGCCCCCGGGAACCGAGUUCCCGUGGGGUAGGAGGGGCGGGUGCGUGUUCUGCGGUUCUAACCUUGUGUGUAUUGCUUUUGCUUUUCAGGACUUUGAAUUCACAUUUAAAUUUAGAAUAAAAAAUCCCCAGCUGGGGGGGUUUUUUUUUUUUCCCUCCCAGCUGGGGUUUUUUUUCCUCGGUCCCGGCCGGUCUGCGAGGCGACAGUCAUCGCCUAAGUUUGGGCACGGACCGGCCCCGGACCGGGGUUUUUGUCAGGCAGGCCGAUUUUGAGGCUCCCGGGAACCACGUUCCUGAGGACCGCUGAUGGCAGGGUUAUAACGGGGCGGUUGAGAGGGGAGUGAAGGUGAGCAUGUGUGCAAGCUGAAGCCGGCUUCUGUGACGAAUGAGUAUUGUGUUUUGUGUGUGCUCGUUGUGGUUUGGGAGAGCGGUAAUAAUGAAACAGCGUGCAUUGUCCUUUUCAGAAAUGGUUAUUUUAUGUUAAUAUGUAUUUGGCUUGUAUUGUUCUGUAUUUGCUGCCAUGUUUCUCUGUAUUAUUCUGUGUGUG